CCGUAGCCCAAGAGAUCGGGAUAACACCUGGAAACAGAUGCUAAUACCGGAUAACAACAGAUGAUGCCUAUCAACUGUUUAAAAGAUGGUUCUGCUAUCACUCUUGGAUGGACCUGCGGUGCAUUAGCUAGUUGGUAGGGUAACGGCCUACCAAGGCGAUGAUGCAUAGCCGAGUUGAGAGACUGAUCGGCCACAUUGGGACUGAGACACGGCCCAAACUCCUACGGGAGGCAGCAGA
This 238-nucleotide ribosomal RNA is filed under the name uncultured Lactobacillus sp. RNAcentral's name for it is "partial 16S ribosomal RNA". It matches the Rfam family "Bacterial small subunit ribosomal RNA", at positions 125 to 354 of the family's 1533-position model. Lineage: Bacteria; Bacillati; Bacillota; Bacilli; Lactobacillales; Lactobacillaceae. The record is from RNAcentral.